RNAcentral lists this ribosomal RNA (255 nucleotides) under uncultured bacterium. Its description in RNAcentral is "partial 16S ribosomal RNA". It matches the Rfam family "Bacterial small subunit ribosomal RNA", at positions 524 to 776 of the family's 1533-position model. The record is from RNAcentral.
UACGUAGGGUGCAAGCGUUUAUCCGGAAUUAUUGGGCGUAAAGAGCUCGUAGGCGGUUUGUCGCGUCUGCUGUGAAAACCGGAGGCUCAACCUCCGGCCUGCAGUGGGUACGGGCAAACUAGAGUGCGGUAGGGGGAGAUUGGAAUUCCUGGUGUAGCGGUGGAAUGCGCAGAUAUCAGGAGGAACACCGAUGGCGAAGGCAGAUCUCUGGGCCGUAACUGACGCUGAGGAGCGAAAGCGUGGGGAGCGAACAGG